This is a non-coding RNA of Acanthosepion pharaonis, 105 nucleotides long. The record is from the annotation of a GenBank genome assembly. Lineage: Eukaryota; Metazoa; Mollusca; Cephalopoda; Sepiida; Sepiidae.
AUCAGACGUAACACACCAUUUCUCGUCUGAUCACCGAAGUUAAGCAAUGACAAGCCCGGUCAAUAAUUAGGUAGGGGACUGCUUGGGAACACCGAGUACUGUAAG